GCAUAACGCGAAGAACCUUACCUGGUCUUGACAUGCAUCUUGUCGCUGGUGAAAGCCAGCUAGGUUAGCAAUAACCGAUUUGCACAGGUGCUGCAUGGCUGUCGUCAGCUCGUGUCGUGAGAUGUUGGGUUAAGUCCCGCAACGAGUGCAACCCCUGUGGUUUGUUGCCACCCGGUUUACCGGAGCACUCGAACCAGACUGCCUCGAUCAACGAGGAGGAAGGUGGGGAUGACGUCAAGUCCGUAUGGCCCUUACGACCAGGGCUGCACACGUACUACAAUGCCCAGCACAAUGUGAACCGAUACCGCGAGGUGGAGGAAAUCAGUAAAACUGGGCUCAGUUCAGAUUGGAGUCUGCAACUCGACUCCAUGAAGUUGGAAUCGCUAGUAAUGGUGCAUCAGCUACGGCACCGUGAAUACGUUCCCGGGUCUUGUACACACCG
Molecule: ribosomal RNA, 442 nt
Filed under: uncultured bacterium
Lineage: Bacteria
Description: bacterial SSU rRNA
Rfam family: Bacterial small subunit ribosomal RNA
Source: RNAcentral